GACAUGCUUGGGGUGGUCGAUCCGGCCCUGGUGCGUUCCGGGGAGCGGAGGAUCAUCGUCGAGUUGCCGGGGGUCUUGGAUCCCCGGCAGGCCGCC
Molecule: transfer RNA, 96 nt
Filed under: Acrocarpospora corrugata
Lineage: Bacteria; Bacillati; Actinomycetota; Actinomycetes; Streptosporangiales; Streptosporangiaceae
Description: tRNA-Arg
Source: RNAcentral